GGGAGGCCAAGGCAGGCGGCAUGCUUCGCCGGGUGGUCAGAGCUAUUCGCCCAUAGUCCGUAGCCCAGAGCCGGGGCUGCUCGGCUCUCCGUCCCGGGGGGCCGGGGCCGGGCUGGAGGCGUGCGAGCCUCUCAUCGCUGCCUCCCAGCGCAGCCACCCGAGCCGCUGCCGCCGCCGCCGCCUCCCUCCAUGGCUCAGCAAAACCAUCCUUUCAUCUUUUCGUCUCAUCAUUUCUUCAUUUCAUUUCAUCUUUUCAUCUCAUUUCAUUUCAUCAAUUCAUCAUUUCAUCUCAUCAUUUCAUCUCAUUUCAUUUCACUUCAUUUGUUGCAUUUCAUUUCAUCAUUUCAUUUCAUCACUUCAUCUCAAUAUUUCAUUUCGUCACUUCACUUCAUCUCAUUUCAUCAUUUCAUCUCAUGAUUUCAUUUCAUCUCAUUUCAUCUUUUCAUCUCGUCAUUUCAUUUCAUCUUUUCAUCUCAUCAUUUCAUUUGAUCAUUUCAUCAAUUCAUCAUUUCAUUAUUUCAUCAUUUAAUCAUUUCACUUCAUUUCAUCAUUUCAUUUCAUCAUUUCAUAUCAUUUCUUCAUUUCAUCAUUUGAUCUUUUCAUUUCAUUUCAUCAUUUCAUCAUUUCAUCAUUUCACUUCAUCAUUUCAUUUCAUCAUUCCAUUUCAUUUCAUUUCACAAUUUCAUCAUUUCAUCAUUCCAUUUCAUCAUUUCAUUACAUUUCAUCAUUUCAUCAUUUCACUUCUUCUCAUAUCAUCUUUCAUUGCGUUAUUUCAUUUCAUCUCAUCAUUUCAUUUCAUCUCAUCAUUUCAUUUCAUCAUUUCACUUCAUCUCAUCAUUUCAUCUCAUCUCAUCAUUUCAUCUUUUCAUCUCCUCAUUUCAUUUAAUUAUUUCGUUUCAUUUCACCUUUUCAUCUCAUCAUUUCAUUUCAAUUCAUCAUUUAAUUUCAUUUUUUCAUCAUUUCAUCAUUCACUUCAUUUCAUCAUUUCAUUUCAUCAUUUCAUAUCAUUUCCUCAAUUCAUCAUUUCAUCUUUUCAUUUCAUUUCAUCAUUUCAUUUCACUUCACUAUUUCAUUUCAUUAUUUCAUUUCACCAUUUCAUGUCAUCAUUUCAUUUCAUCAUUCCAUUUCAUCAUUUCAUUUCAUUUCAUCAUCAUUUCAUCUCAUUAUUUCAUUUCUUCGUUUCAUCAUUUCGUUUCAUUUCAUCAUUUCAUUUCAUCAUUUCAUCAUUUCUUUUCAUUUCAGUGAUACAUGUAUUUAAUUGCUAAUGCGAUGCUCAGGAGACACCCUAUUUCCCUUUGUAAAACACCUCCUUCAACAAAAGGCAACUUCUCAUGGCUGGCUAAGUCUACAGGGAUACCAGCCUCUCUUCAAC
RNAcentral lists this long non-coding RNA (1372 nucleotides) under Pan troglodytes (chimpanzee). Its description in RNAcentral is "lncRNA (ENSPTRG00000054284.1)". The record is from RNAcentral. Lineage: Eukaryota; Metazoa; Chordata; Mammalia; Primates; Hominidae.